AGAGUUUGAUCAUGGCUCAGGAUGAACGCUGGCGGCGUGCCUAAUACAUGCAAGUCGAGCGAGGCCCUUCGGGGCCUAGCGGCGGACGGGUGAGUAACACGUGGGUAACCUGCCUGUAAGGCUGGGAUAACUUCGGGAAACCGAAGCUAAUACCGGAUAAUUUCGAGCAUCGCAUGAUGCUUGAUGGAAAGACGGCUUCGGCUGUCGCUUACAGAUGGACCCGCGUCGCAUUAGCUAGUUGGUGAGGUAACGGCUCACCAAGGCGACGAUGCGUAGCCGACCUGAGAGGGUGAUCGGCCACACUGGGACUGAGACACGGCCCAGACUCCUACGGGAGGCAGCAGUAGGGAAUCUUCGGCAAUGGGCGAAAGCCUGACCGAGCAACGCCGCGUGAGCGAUGAAGGCCUUCGGGUCGUAAAGCUCUGUUGUUAAGGAAGAACAAGUACGAGAGUAACUGCUCGUACCUUGACGGUACUUAACGAGAAAGCCACGGCUAACUACGUGCCAGCAGCCGCGGUAAUACGUAGGUGGCGAGCGUUAUCCGGAAUUAUUGGGCGUAAAGCGCGCGCAGGCGGCUUCUUAAGUCUGAUGUGAAAGCCCACGGCUCAACCGUGGAGGGUCAUUGGAAACUGGGAAACUUGAGUGCAGAAGAGGAAAGCGGAAUUCCACGUAGCGGUGAAAUGCGUAGAGAUGUGGAGGAACACCAGUGGCGAAGGCGGCUUUCUGGUCUGUAACUGACGCUGAGGCGCGAAAGCGUGGGGAGCAAACAGGAUUAGAUACCCUAGUAGUCC
RNAcentral lists this ribosomal RNA (791 nucleotides) under uncultured bacterium. RNAcentral describes it as "bacterial SSU rRNA". It matches the Rfam family "Bacterial small subunit ribosomal RNA", at positions 8 to 796 of the family's 1533-position model. The record is from RNAcentral.